GGUGAACGCUGGCGGCGUGCCUAAGACAUGCAAGUCGAGCGGGGCAGGUUUAUACCUGUUCAGCGGCGGACGGGUGAGUAACGCGUGGGUGACCUACCCGGAAGAGGCGGACAACCUGGGGAAACCCAGGCUAAUCCGCCAUGUGGUCCUGUCCUGUGUGGCAGGACUAAAGGCGCGACCCGCUUCCGGAUGGGCCCGCGUCCCAUCAGCUAGUUGGUGAGGUAAAGGCCCACCAAGGCGACGACGGAUAGCCGGUCUGAGAGGAUGGCCGGCCACAGGGGCACGGAACAACGGGCCCCACUCCUACGGGAGGCAGCAGUUAGGAAUCUUACGCAAUGGACGGAAGUCUGACGGAGAGACGCCACGUGGAGGAGGAAGGCCUUCGGGGUGUAAACUCCUGAACUGGGGACGAAAGACCCGUGUAGGGGGAGGAGGGUACCCAGGUAAUAGCGCCGGCUAACUCCGUG
This 467-nucleotide ribosomal RNA is filed under the name uncultured bacterium. RNAcentral describes it as "partial 16S ribosomal RNA". It matches the Rfam family "Bacterial small subunit ribosomal RNA", at positions 28 to 507 of the family's 1533-position model. The record is from RNAcentral.